Molecule: ribosomal RNA, 469 nt
Filed under: uncultured Streptococcus sp.
Lineage: Bacteria; Bacillati; Bacillota; Bacilli; Lactobacillales; Streptococcaceae
Description: bacterial SSU rRNA
Rfam family: Bacterial small subunit ribosomal RNA
Source: RNAcentral
ACGGGGCCCGCACAAGCGGUGAGCAUGUGGUUUAAUUCGAAGCAACGUCGAAGAAACCCUUACCUAGGUCUUGACAUCCCGAUGCUAUUUCUAGAGAUAGAAAGUUACUUCGGUACAUCGGUGACAGGUGGUGCAUGGUUGUCGUCAGCUCGUGUCGUGAGAUGUUGGGUUAAGUCCCGCAACGAGCGCAACCCCUAUUGUUAGUUGCCAUCAUUCAGUUGGGCACUCUAGCGAGACUGCCGGUAAUAAACCGGAGGAAGGUGGGAUGACGUCAAAUCAUCAUGCCCCUUAUGACCUGGGCUACACACGUGCUACAAUGGUUGGUACAACGAGUUGCGAGUCGGUGACGGCGAGCUAAUCUCUUAAAGCCAAUCUCAGUUCGGAUUGUAGGCUGCAGCUCGCCUACAUGAAGUCGGAAUCGCUAGUAAUCGCGGAUCAGCACGCCGCGGUGAAUACGUUCCCGGGCCUU